GACGAACGCUGGCGGCGUGCUUAACACAUGCAAGUCGAACGGAAAGGCCCUGCGUUUGUGGGGUGCUCGAGUGGCGAACGGGUGAGUAACACGUGAGUAACCUGCCCUUGACUUUGGGAUAUCUUCAGGAAACUGGGGCUAAUAUCGGAUAGGAGCUCCUGCUGCAUGGUGGGGGUUGGAAAGUUUCGGCGGUUGGGGAUGGACUCGCGGGUUAUCAGCUUGUUGGUGGGGUAGUGGCUGACGAAGGCUUUGACGGGUAGCCCGCCUGAGAGGGUGACCGGCCACCUUGGGCCUGAGAUACGGCGCAGACUCCUACGGGAGGCAGCAGUGGGGAAUAUGGCACAAUGGGCGGAAGCCUGAUGCAGAAACGCCGCGUGCGGGAUGACGGCUUUCGGGUUGUAAACCGAUUUCGCCUGUGCCGAAGCGUGAGUGACGGUAAUGGGUAAAGAAGCACCGGCUAACUACGUG
RNAcentral lists this ribosomal RNA (468 nucleotides) under uncultured bacterium. RNAcentral describes it as "partial 16S ribosomal RNA". It matches the Rfam family "Bacterial small subunit ribosomal RNA", at positions 28 to 507 of the family's 1533-position model. The record is from RNAcentral.